This 405-nucleotide ribosomal RNA is filed under the name uncultured bacterium. RNAcentral describes it as "bacterial SSU rRNA". It matches the Rfam family "Bacterial small subunit ribosomal RNA", at positions 359 to 776 of the family's 1533-position model. The record is from RNAcentral.
GAAUAUUGCACAAUGGGCGAAAGCCUGAUGCAGCGACGCCGCGUGAGGGAUGACGGCCUUCGGGUUGUAAACCUCUUUCAGUAGGGAAGAAGCGAAAGUGACGGUACCUGCAGAAGAAGCGCCGUCUCCCUACGUGCCAGCAGCCGCGGUAAUACGUAGGGCGCAAGCGUUAUCCGGAAUUAUUGGGCGUAAAGAGCUCGUAGGCGGGUUGUCGCGUCUGCCGUGAAAGUCCGGGGCUCAACCCCGGAUCUGCGGUGGGUACGGGCAGACUAGAGUGAUGUAGGGGAGACUGGAAUUCCUGGUGUAGCGGUGAAAUGCGCAGAUAUCAGGAGGAACACCGAUGGCGAAGGCAGGUCUCUGGGCAUUAACUGACGCUGAGGAGCGAAAGCAUGGGGAGCGAACAGG